AGGGAUUAGAAUUUGGAUUAGGGUUUGAUUUAGGAUUUAGGAUUUGGAUAGGAUUUGAUUUAAGAUAUAGGAUUUUGUUAGGGUUUGGUUUAAGGUUUAGGGUUUCAAUUAGGAUUUGGUUUAGGAUUUGAUUAGGGUUUGAUUUAGGGUUUAGGAUUUAAGGUUUGGAUUAGGAUUUGGAUUAGGAUUUGGAUUAGGAUUUGAUUUAGGGUUUAAGAUUUGGAUGGGAUUUGAUUUAGGAUUUAAGAUUUGAUUAGGGUUUAGUUUAAGAUUUUAUUAGGAUUUUUUUAGGAUUUAAGAUUUAAUUAAUUUGGGCCUAAAGUUUGAAUGAAGUCCAAUAGGAUUUUAACUAGGAUUAAAUUAAGAUUGAAUUGAAAUAUAUUUGAGAGAUAUUUGUGAUUAUUAUUAUUAUAUUUUUUUAAGAUUUUUUAUUAUUUUUUGGAAAUUUCUUUGAGGUUUCUUUGAAUUUGAUUAAGCUUGUUUAAUAUUAUUGUGGUCCAAUUAGAGUAUUAUUAGUAUUAUAUUAGAAUUAGGAUUUUGUUAUUGUAAUUUCUAUUCUUCCUUCUACAGGUAGGUGCCCGGAGCAUUCUUAAGUAAGACUAAGCCCUAAACCCUAAAUC
This 620-nucleotide long non-coding RNA is filed under the name Physcomitrium patens. RNAcentral's name for it is "long non-coding RNA (PPAT_LNC001680)". The record is from RNAcentral. Lineage: Eukaryota; Viridiplantae; Streptophyta; Bryopsida; Funariales; Funariaceae.